This 68-nucleotide transfer RNA is filed under the name Marmota monax (woodchuck). RNAcentral's name for it is "tRNA.Ala". Lineage: Eukaryota; Metazoa; Chordata; Mammalia; Rodentia; Sciuridae. The record is from RNAcentral.
UGGAUGUAGCUCAGUGGUAGAGCAUUUACCUAGCAUGUGUGGGCCUGGGUUCAAUUCCAGCUCUCUAA